This 463-nucleotide ribosomal RNA is filed under the name uncultured bacterium. RNAcentral describes it as "partial 16S ribosomal RNA". It matches the Rfam family "Bacterial small subunit ribosomal RNA", at positions 28 to 507 of the family's 1533-position model. The record is from RNAcentral.
GAUGAACGCUGACAGAAUGCUUAACACAUGCAAGUCGAUGGGGAAGUGGUGCUUGCACCCUGGUAACCAUGGCGGACGGGUGAGUAACGCGUAAGGAACUUGCCUGCGGGACUGGGAUAACAGCAGGAAACUGCUGAUAAUACCGGAUAAGGUCAUUAAGCUGCAUAGCUUAGUGAUGAAAGGAGACGCCUGCGGAGAGCCUUGCGUCCUAUUAGCUAGUUGGAGGGGUAACGGCCCACCAAGGCGAAGAUAGGUAGCCGGCCUGAGAGGGUGGACGGCCACAAGGGGACUGAGAUACGGCCCUGACUCCUACGGGAGGCAGCAGUGGGGAAUAUUGGACAAUGGGGGCAACCCUGAUCCAGCAAUUCUGUGUGCACGAAGACGGUUUUCGGAGUGUAAAGUGCUUUCAGCAGGGAAGAAGGAAGUGACGGUACCUGCAGAAGAAGCGACGGCUAAAUACGUG